This 424-nucleotide ribosomal RNA is filed under the name uncultured bacterium. Its description in RNAcentral is "bacterial SSU rRNA". It matches the Rfam family "Bacterial small subunit ribosomal RNA", at positions 475 to 902 of the family's 1533-position model. The record is from RNAcentral.
GUACCGGAUAAUUCGACCCGCCUAACUCCGUGCCAGCACCCCCGGUAAUACGGAGGGUGCAAGCGUUAUCCGAAAUCAUUGGGUUUAAAGGGUCCGCAGGCGGGUUUAUAAGUCAGUGGUGAAAGCCUACCGCUAAACUGUAAAACUGCCAUUGAUACUGUAAGUCUUGAAUUCGGUCGAAGUGGGCGGAAUGUGUAGUGUAGCGGUGAAAUGCAUAAAUUUUACACAAAACACCGAUGGCGAAGGCACCUCACUAGGCCUGGAUUGACCCUCAGGGACAAAAGCGUGGGGAUCAAACAGGAUUAGAUACCCUGGUAGUCCACGCUGAAAACAAUGAUUACUCGUUUUCGGCGAUAUACAGUCGGAAACUAACCGAAAGUGAUAAGUAAUCCACCUGGGGAGUACAAUCGCAAGGUUGAAACUC